AGGACUUAUAGGUCAUUGACCCAUUGAUCGGAAGUAUCCAAAGGUUUAACUCUUGUGAUGCCAAGGAACCAUAGGUCGUAGCUUCAUUGAUAGAGAGUACUUGGAGGUUUAGCUCCCCUAGUCCAGGAAGAUCCUCGAACUUGAUGUGAGCCGCUUUGGCCACUAUGGAUAGGAUUGAAUACGAUCUAAGAGCAAGAUCUGUCAUAUCA
Molecule: long non-coding RNA, 209 nt
Filed under: Elaeis guineensis (African oil palm)
Lineage: Eukaryota; Viridiplantae; Streptophyta; Magnoliopsida; Arecales; Arecaceae
Description: long non-coding RNA (EGUI_LNC047087)
Source: RNAcentral